GAGCGCCUCGCAAGAGGAGCGGCAGACGGGUGAGUAACGCGUGGGAAUCUACCGUACCCUACGGAAUAGCUCCGGGAAACUGGAAUUAAUACCGUAUACGCCCUUUGGGGGAAAGAUUUAUCGGGGUAUGAUGAGCCCGCGUUGGAUUAGCUAGUUGGUGGGGUAAAGGCCUACCAAGGCGACGAUCCAUAGCUGGUCUGAGAGGAUGAUCAGCCACAUUGGGACUGAGACACGGCCCAAACUCCUACGGGAGGCAGCAGUGGGGAAUAUUGGACAAUGGGCGCAAGCCUGAUCCAGCCAUGCCGCGUGAGUGAUGAAGGUCUUAGGAUUGUAAAGCUCUUUCACCGAUGAAGAUAAUGACGGUAGUCGGAGAAGAAGCCCCGGCUAACUUCGUGCCAGCAGCCGCGGUAAUACGAAGGGGGCUAGCGUUGUUCGGAAUUACUGGGCGUAAAGCGCACGUAGGCGGAUAAUUAAGUCAGGGGUGAAAUCCCGCAGCUCAACUGCGGAACUGCCUUUGAUACUGGUUAUCUUGAGUAUGGAAGAGGUAAGUGGAAUUGCGAGUGUAGAGGUGAAAUUCGUAGAUAUUCGCAGGAACACCAGUGGCGAAGGCGGCUUACUGGUCCAUU
Molecule: ribosomal RNA, 626 nt
Filed under: Gillisella vitis
Lineage: Bacteria; Pseudomonadati; Pseudomonadota; Alphaproteobacteria; Hyphomicrobiales; Rhizobiaceae
Description: bacterial SSU rRNA
Rfam family: Bacterial small subunit ribosomal RNA
Source: RNAcentral